RNAcentral lists this transfer RNA (71 nucleotides) under Fusarium fujikuroi. Its description in RNAcentral is "tRNA-Met". Lineage: Eukaryota; Fungi; Ascomycota; Sordariomycetes; Hypocreales; Nectriaceae. The record is from RNAcentral.
UACAUAGAGGAGGGCGGCUGCGCUAGAGCUUCGCCCUACGAAGUAUGCAUAGCUUGCGCCAGCCUUCAGCA